Long non-coding RNA from Gallus gallus (chicken), 6970 nucleotides. Lineage: Eukaryota; Metazoa; Chordata; Aves; Galliformes; Phasianidae. The record is from Ensembl.
AUAGAGCUGGCAAAGGGCAAGGACAGGCACUUCAAGGGAAACAGUGGGAGAGAGCAGCUGGGAGCCACACAGCAGCCUGCUGUUGGCAUCAACAGGUCGUUCAUUCUGCUCUGUGUCAGCACACAGGUGUGCUCUGCAGUGACAGCGCUCCUCCAACAGCUCUCUCCCUCCACCAGCUCCCAAAGGGAGUGAUGUUUCCCACCAGCCCGAAGGCAGUCCCUUUAGCUGGGUGUGUCUCUGAGCACAAAGCACGCUUCUGCCUCGCUUCUGUGGCUCUGCAGGGGUUGUCUGUGAAGUGGGGUCUUUGUGCAUGUGCCUGCUGAUGCCUCCAGUGCACAGACAUCUUUGCUCCCCCGUACAUUUAACUUACAGUCUUCAGAUUAGCGUUACCGUGAGCACUGCUUUACAGUCAAAACGUGGUGUUGUAAGGGAUGAAAUCCAGCUGUUCCAUGUUUAUCCAGUGUCAGGGAUUUCACAACACUUGGUGUGCAAGUUAUGACUCGGUUUUUACAGCUGCCAGGAGCACAGCCCAAGCAGCAAGCUGUGUUCCCUCUGCUCAGAGCACUCUCAACACGGAGCAGUGUUGCAGGGAAGCGCAUUGCCAUGGCCGGGAAUAAAAUCUUCAGACAUAAAUAUUUUGCUUUUGGAAAAGUGGAUUUCACAAACAGAUAACACAUACCUUAAAAAUGCUCCUCGGGGCACACAAAUGUUCAUUUCCUGGAAACAUUCAGCUGUGCUGCCGGCCCAGAGAAGCACGAUGCUGACCACCAGCUGACCUUGCACUGAUGCUGUCUGCUUCAGGAUAAAGCACAGAUACUUCUGCAGCUACACAGAACCGGUGACCCUGUUGGAUGAAUACAGUGUCUUAAGCAGAACACAACCUAAGGCCUUUGUCUCGAGAUAAUGCUUUCUUGCAUUAGACAUUUCUGUCCGGAAAACACAUCUCAAUCCAGGUCACCUGGAACUUCAACCCUUACCUUCACAGGACUCACGCUCUGCAGUAACUGCUGAGACCCCACCAAAGAGCAGAAAUUAGGGAGAAAUUUCAGAAGCCAGCUUGGACAUGAUGCUUUCUAUCUGCGUGAACGUGAGGAAAAGAUAAAGGUGAGUGCAAUAGAUGUUGCAGAGGCUGCAUAGCCUGCAGGUCAGUGUGAGCCCACACUGAACACACAUCGGGUCUCUGCACCAGCAAAGUAAUCUGAAGGCAAUUUUGGAGAGCUGCGUGCUCACCAAACACCGAGCUGCCUUUAUCUGAAAUAUAUUGUCUGUGUUAAGGAACUUCAAUACCAGAUGUCUUACGUGCAAGACAGACAGCCGGUUCAACUACAGCAGUACUCCAACAGGGAUGAAUAUCAUCAUGGGGGGGAUUGCAAAGCACAUUAAGGGGGAAAUGGGUGCUGAGAUUUCUUCCUCCUGGUGGUCCCCUGGAAGACAGAGACACGCUGUGGUAGGAGGGCUGAAUGUUGUGGCUGAAGUCAGAGAAAAACCAGGCAGAGAGGAGCCCAGGGAGCACUCUGGAGCAUUGGGAUUGCAGGUCAGUCCCCACAGCACAUACCUCCAUCAGGUGGACAUAGUUUGGUGUCUGAAGAAACAACAGCGAGAUCAAAUAUCCAUUAGAAUGAUUUCUUCUCUUUCCAUGCAUUCCAUCAUGAGUGGUGACAGGAGCUGUAGGGCUCGAGAAUGUCAACCCAUAGGACAUCUCACACCUGGGCUGCCCUUAAGGAGGGAAGGGACGGGCCCAGUAACACACACACUUCAGUGGACGUAGAGCACUGCUAAUCUACAUCAGGACUUACACCAGGGCUCCUAUCUACCCCGGUCCUGCUCUGUAAGGAGCCUGAAUUCCGCGGCAGGCAAAGAGACACUCAUUUGGUGGAGAGCAGGGAUUCCUCUGUGAGCCCCACCAGAUGGAAACCCAUUUUGCUCAGGAACUGCACUGGGAGUUGACACACUUCUUGCAAAACAAGCACAGUGCCAAAUCUCCAGGCAGAAAGCCAUGCUUGAAAAGGGUUUUUUUUUUUAACAAUGUGCUCUCAUCUGCUUUUUCCUCUUAGCAAAAACUUCCUCACUUACCAGUUUAUAUCUCCCGCUGCCAUAGUUUCCCUUCAGCUUCAUAUCUCAGCUCCUGCUCUGCUCUCUGUGCACAUUUAUACACCAAACACUUUGCAGAAAACUUGAAAGGACUGCAUUGUCCUGCUAAUUGGUUAUAAGCACGUUAUCUGCAAUCUGCUGUCCCUGCCCAGCUAUUGUGCUCCCUUGGGGAUAAAACACACAUUAUUUAUUUGGAAUAAGUGCAUGUUAUGCUUAUAACAAGAUAAGCACAAAACAAAAAAAUUACAAAUUAGAAACAUCAUUUUUCUCUUCACAAUGUUCAAGCUGGGAAUAUAAGCACUUGUACAAUAUAUGCAUGCAUACAGUGAAGGCAUAUAUGCAGGAUCCAUCUGAUUUGCCAGACCUGAAUACCUCAGUUUUGAGAACCACGUGUGCAAAUGCCAAGUAAUCUGACUGCUGCUGAAGGUGGACGUGGUGUAAAUCUGAGACCUCUGCAGGCUGCUGAGGGAUGCUCUGCACGUUAUCACAGCCUCAGAUGACCCUGGAGAAAAUCUCUGAGUGAGGAAAGAGGAUACAACUGGAAAAAAAGAACAGGCUAUGUGAGGAAUAUUUAUAAAACAUUUCUAAUCUCUACUCUCUGCAUAUCUUGAGAGAUGAGGAAAGUGCUUCUUGAGAGAAGGCUCUGUAGGCAGGCUGCAGUAAGGGGUGCUCAAAAUGCACAUCCAUUACUUUUGGGUGGUUUAUCAGUUUCAUUAUCAGAUUCAAAAUUAGAACCCCUUCCUUGUGAGCAGUGGUAAUUGUGUCUUAAAAAGGCACAGUGAAGAAAAUACAGUUGUGUGCAGAUCUGCAGAGCACAAUGGGGCCUCCACUGCCAGCAGGGGUCCCAGGCAUGAUCUCUCCUCUUGGGCAAUUCCAACGGGAGAACCCUGAUAACCCUCAUAUCUAGAUCUGUAAGAGCAACUCAUUGUCCUCUGCUAUCCUGUAAUUUAAAUAACACAUGUAGAGCCAUCAGCAGCCGGCAGACAUAUUGUGCUAUACAGUUGCCUUGCUGUUCAAAUUAACGUAAUUACACGCCCAGUUCUCCUAUUUCAGUUGUAAUAGUGAAAACAGUGAACUUGCUGAUAACAGUGAGUACAAAGGCUCUGUUUUCUAGUUUAAGAGCUAAGCUCUUGUGUCAAAAGAGCAGUUUAAAGUUCACAGCCUGCUCUUAGUGGUCACACUUCAGCCACCAGGUGCACUUACCCAGCUCCACUUUCCUCCUUUCUCUCCAGAAUGCUUUAUGGGGAAGAGCUGUGUUUCCCUAAAUAAGGCAAAUAUCCUUUAUUCAGCUGGGCACUGGCAUGGAGUAACAUCAGUGUGGUUUCGAUAUGGCUCAAAAACCGUGGGUUGUUAAGCUGUGGUGGAAGGCAGCACGUGAAAAACCCCAGCCCUUCUUUCAUGAAAGGGGAGCUCAGGCCUCAGCCUUGGAUGAAGGCUCCUUGUGCAGCCCUGUACCACUUUGCCCCCUAAAUACAUCAUGUGAGCUCUUUGUGCCACCACAUCAUAAACCAGCCAUGGGAAUGGAAGAAGACUGCAGAGACCUCCCCAAAGGGCACCACUGCACUGCCCAGUGCCUGGCUGGAAGAGGCUGCUGAAACAAAGCAUGGGUGUAACUCAAGUUUGGAUUUAGCACUUCCUUUGCCAACAAGCACUGCUAAAAUGGAAACUGCUCAUAACAAAGAACACAAAAGCAAAACUGAAAUCAAAAAAUCCCCAUGAAGUGAUCUCGUAAUUAGCAGCUAUUUCUCAUAAAUAGCCGUUGCCUUCCAAAACUAAUUUCAUUAUGGAUAAGCAUUAGGCAGAUCUUCCCCCCAAUCUGUUUGAGCAGCAUGAAAGCACAGGUUCCCCUCCUCUCCUUGAACUCUUCCCUGUGUCAGUGUCUCCUUGCUAGCCCACAGGGUAACCGUCCAGCUCUUGGCUGGCCUAAUGAACUGUAGUGGCCCCAGUUUGCUGGCAGCCCCAGAGCUGAUCCAAAGCAAAAAACAACAGCCCGGGGCCGAGCGCUGUGUGCUUUGCCAUGGCUUCACCCAUUUGCAGCCUCCUCACUGCUGAGCUGAGUCCCACCAAAGCCUUACAUCAGCACAUCUUUGGGCCUUGUCAGCUCUUGCCAGUGUCAACUUCGAGCUGUGCUUCUCCAGAUCCAUCUCUGUGUGUCCAUGUAUCUUUAAAAGGACACAAACCCCCCUCUGCAGCCCUCUCCAUGGCAAUCUCACCUACAGAAUCCGCCAACACAAGUUUUCAAUUCUUAUCUGGAAAAGGUUUUGAAAUGGUUUUACUAUUGUGAAACAUUUUACAGGGAAGUCUGGAUUCCUUGAAUAGAUAUCUGAAUUGACGGUUGAAGCUCCAGGACAUGCCUUUGCUGCAUUUCCAGUUCUCCUCCUCCACCACUAAAGUUUUCCCCAUGCAAUCUAAGAUCCUUCAUCAACUAGAAAAAUUAGAAGAAGUCAACUGAAUCAUCACAAGAUCACGUCCAUGUGUAGCAAAACUGUUUUAAGUGUCUCCUCCCCUGUUUUGCUGUGCUGCGCAGUUUGUCAUCCCCUCAGCUGUGCCCCCCCAUUCUGGUGUCCCUGCUGAGAAACAGCUUCCAGAAAACAGUCAGUUCAAACUUUUUUAUAAGUGCUUUUUUUUUUACCUUCUUCUGUGAUCUAUCUAUCUUUGUACUGUGGCCCCAGUUGUCCCGGUCAGCUCCAGCACAGCGUGGGAGGGGAUGGCCAGGCACUGCUCUGCCCCAGCUCCAAAGGAACCGUGGUAAAAGAAGCAACUCCAAGGGGGUUACAAGGAGGAGCUUGCAAGGCCUCCUGGCUCCUCUGCAGAGGUGGGGGCAGUGGGGAUUUUCAAGGCCUCCCUACUCUACCCGCUGCAGGACCUUGCACACACCCUAUGCAUUACCUCCCGCAGCUUCUCCCUCCUGUCAAAUGAUCCACUCAUCCUCCCCAGCUCAGAAAUCCUGCCCAUGCUGAUUUCCAGUUAAAGGAAGACCAACGACUCUACACAUCCACUUGGAAACACCAUCUGAAAUGUUGCGGAUCCCUCAACACUGUGCACUCAGAUCUGGGAAGAAAUACGAGUCCUCAACAGGACUCAAAGCACCUUUGUGAAGGCUCUUUCUAACUGUUGACAUUCUAUGUUCUGUUUUCAAAUGCACUUUAUUUGCAUUACCUGAAUAAACCUUCUGUUAAUAAGUUACCUAGCAGCUCUGAGUGAUCAGAACAGUAGUUAAUCUGCUGAUAAUGUUGAUAUUCAGGCAAAUAAGAGUAGCGACUGAACAAAGUUGAAUACAAGUUGGGAAUGCUUUGCUUGCUGAGAGGUCUCUAGUUUGCUUACGUGUUAACUCACAUCUCAGCUAAUGAGAAAAAACAAGUAUUGGGAGUUAUUCAAAACGAAGCUCUGGGCUGCAUGCAGCAAACACACAGCUCUGAUACUGAUUGUUAAAAAUACUUUGUUCUCUACCUUAGGAGUUUAGGAAUUAGCUGUUUAUUAUCGGGGAUCUUUCUGAACAUCCUUCCCAAGUAAAUAAGGAAAUCCUUCUUAAAAGAGUCUGAAGAAGUGUUUGUUAAACCUUUUUGUUCCCAGACACUCCAGUUCUCCUCUCGCACACCGAUGUCAGCUUGAGUUCAACCUGAAAAAACCGAGCAUGGCAAAGCAAAAACCCGAGCCCUGAGAGCAAACACCCUGCAGCUCAGUGAAGCACGCAGCAGUUUGCUUUCAGUUAACUAUUGCUAUAGUUAUAUUUUUCAGUUAAACAUUACACAACUUUGGAGUAGGAAUGGUGAAAAUAAAGGCGUGUUGACCCAGGAGACAGCUCCCCUUUCAGUGCUCCCUUCUGCCCUUUCUGUUUUCUGUGUUUCAGUGCCGUUCAAGCCCAGAAACUCACCUUGCACCUGGCAACAUCUGCCACCUGUAAAUGCUGGAGCUUCACAGGUCCCCUCCGUGCAGCAGUCGGGCCACAGAGCUGUACUGAUCCUCGGUUUGCUGGUAGAUAUGGGGAGAUUCUGCUCCUCACUGCAGAAAGACUCAUUUUUCAGGGCAGAAGGAAAAUGCAUUUGCUAUUCAGCAUCACUGAAGACACAAACUGAAGAUCCACGUAAGCAAUAAGGUAUUUCUGCACCUCCUGCAAGACAUUUAUGCAACACCUUCUAUAAUAUUAAAGCGUGUGCAAUUUUAUCACUACUGUGAUAUCACUGGCGUGUUCCCUGCAUUCCAGUGUCUCCCUUCAGGUUUGCUCCAACUGACUGAUAGCCCAGCAACAUGCACCAGUAAUUCAGCUUCCCCUCCCAGUCUGCACCAUCCUGCACUUCACCACUACGCCUUUCCCUGUCACUGACCUCAGAAGGUUCUCUCUAAAGCUCUGGGUGAUCUUGUCCAGUACAGUCCAACCUGCAUCUUCCCUGAGCUCUCACAGCCCCCUCAAUUCACAGCCGGUAACCUGGAAAGAACCGCACCUGAGAUGCUGCAGACACCAACACACUGAAGGACUCCAAAGACUAUUUCCUGAGGGAGAAUUGCUAUACCUCACUCCCAUAGGUCCUCCAUGUCCCAGAGCUAAAGAGUUGGAACAUCCAUGGCCGGGUUUCCUUCUCGUUAUUGCUUUUCUUAUAUGAACCAUGCAGCGUGAAAGACUGAGCAGAUGAAACUUUCCAGCUACUGGCAUGAAGCCUUUCCACAGACGUAAAAGGAGUGGCAGAAGAACGUUUGUAUCUCAGGAGGUUAAGGGCGCUCAUCUGUGAUGAAGAUAAUCAAAUUUGAUGCUUCAGGGCUUCACCUAAUUGCUCAGUAGAACACUGCUAUGUGCAAAGGACAAUUCUUCCCCUUUCUGAAGCACAGCGGCAGCAGCUCAGUGUGUUCUGGCUUUCCUCCCACCUUCCUCCAGAGCUGCAAU